UACGUAGGUGGCAAGCGUUAUCCGGAUUUAUUGGGCGUAAAGGGUGCGCAGGCGGUCUGUUAAGUUUGAGGUGAAAGCGUUGAGCUCAACUCAAUCGAGCCUCGAAUACUGGCAGACUAGAGUGCAGAAGAGGGUAUUGGAAUUCCAUGUGUAGCGGUAAAAUGCAUAGAUAUAUGGAGGAACACCAGUGGCGAAGGCGGAUACCUGGUCUGUAACUGACGCUCAGGCACGAAAGCGUGGGGAGC
Molecule: ribosomal RNA, 245 nt
Filed under: uncultured Erysipelotrichaceae bacterium
Lineage: Bacteria; Bacillati; Bacillota; Erysipelotrichia; Erysipelotrichales; Erysipelotrichaceae
Description: partial 16S ribosomal RNA
Rfam family: Bacterial small subunit ribosomal RNA
Source: RNAcentral